AAGGGAGACAAUCACAGUCUCAUUCAGUUGCUGCAUCAAGCUUGAAGUCCACAAAUUACAGAAAAGGGGUCCCAAUCCAGACCCCAAGAGAGGGCUCUUGGAUCUCACGCAAGAAAGAAUUCAGGGAAGUUUGAUGGCAUGUCUUUAUAUCAUGGCCAUGGGCAGGACUUGGAAAAAGUUUUACCACUAAAGCAUCUAUGAACUCAAGAAAGAAAACACUGGCUAUGUACAAUGAUGACUGUGAUCUUUUAAAUUUAUCUCAAAUAGCGAACCUACCAGUCAUACUGAGAGGAAAUCACCACUGGAGAUCCCAGAAGCAUAACAAUUGUCCCUUCCAAGUAGCAAGAAGUUACUUCAUCUUCUCAUCAGGACAAGGUUUCCAACUCUGUUGCCUCUGCAGGGGUGGAUUUGUGGAUCCUGAAUUCUGGCAGCUGUGUGAUCCACACCUUGGCUAGCACCAGAGGUCAUUGGCUAAGUGCUAUGACAGCAGGGAUUCUCCAAGGCCAAGCCCAUGGGGUUCAGGCCAGGGAUGAUCAAUCAUCAGGCGAAGGUUCCAGGACAUGAAGUGCAUCACAGGUGCUCUCCAGGAACAGGUACCCAGCCAUGCAGGACUAGGAGAGGCCCAGGGCAGCCCUGAUUCUCACAUGUCCACCCACUGGCAGGAGCUGACAGCUGUGCAUGACUAGCUCUCAAAGGCCCAGCUGCAUCCUGCCUCCUCCUGCUUCUGUUGAGUCUGGCAGCUACAAGCAAGAGUAUGGGAAAGCAGAAGACAGGAAGACAGGUGAACUCAUGGAAGACGGAGGCAGAGGGGAAAGUAGAGGCUCUGCAGACCCCAUCAUGGAGAACAAGAAACCGAGUGGGAGCUUAUCGACUUCAGCCUUACCCCAGGACGCACUCUCAACCAAGUUUACUCUCUGAACAGCUCUGAAACUUUUGGUUCAGUCGUGGCUGAACCAACAGGAAAUCAAGGGAAAUGGCACUUAUUUAUUAUGCAGCCGUAGGCCAAUUCCCCAGAUGUCAUUAUUGCACUUCCAGGCCUUUUGCUUAGGCAAAGAAACAGAGACCGAAAGAGACUUCUGAGACAACAGCCAGCAAAGAAGCUCACUGCCUUUUGAAGGGAUUCUCCUCCCAUGGGAGAAGAGCUGCUCUGGUCACUUCUACAAGUUCUAGCUGACCAGGCAGGGCCCUGGCUGAGAUCUUAUUUGGGGACUGAUCCUCUACCCUCUUCUCUCCACAAAUCAGUGAGCUUUGAGGGGAACUUGACUGCCACCAAACAUGAGGCUUUAGGACUGGAGAAGCUGGCAGACAAUGGGGUCCCCAGUGAUGCCCCUCAGAUGGGGCAAAGAUAUUCUCAACUACACCUCUG
RNAcentral lists this long non-coding RNA (1366 nucleotides) under Homo sapiens (human). RNAcentral describes it as "HSALNT0325900". The record is from RNAcentral. Lineage: Eukaryota; Metazoa; Chordata; Mammalia; Primates; Hominidae.